RNAcentral lists this long non-coding RNA (219 nucleotides) under Elaeis guineensis (African oil palm). Its description in RNAcentral is "long non-coding RNA (EGUI_LNC049846)". Lineage: Eukaryota; Viridiplantae; Streptophyta; Magnoliopsida; Arecales; Arecaceae. The record is from RNAcentral.
CUCUCAGUUCCGGCCUCUGCUAUGGAUUGUCUUAAAUUUUUGACUUCCUUUUCUAGUUUCAUCUUUUUCAGCAGCAUAUCCUGAAACAUCCGGUGGAACCACCGACGCUCGUCCUCCGACUCUCAAAGCCUCCUCCUCAAUACCUCGGACUUCGCCUCGGCGUCCUUGACUACCUGCUGCUCAUGGACCAGCUGAACUUUCAACCGUCGUAAUUCGGCU